This 465-nucleotide ribosomal RNA is filed under the name uncultured bacterium. RNAcentral describes it as "partial 16S ribosomal RNA". It matches the Rfam family "Bacterial small subunit ribosomal RNA", at positions 339 to 795 of the family's 1533-position model. The record is from RNAcentral.
CUACGGGAUGCAGCAGUGGGGAAUAUUGCGCAAUGGGCGAAAGCCUGACGCAGCAAUGCCGCGUGAGUGAGGAAGGUUUUCGGAUUGUAAAGCUCUGUCAGAAUGGAAAAAUGGUUUAGGGUCCAAUAGGCCCUAGAUUUGAUGGUACAUUCAGAGGAAACACCGGCUAACUUCGUGCCAGCAGCCGCGGUAAUACGAAGGGUGUAAGCGUUGUUCGGAUUUAUUGGGCGUAAAGCGCGCGCAGGCGGAUUGAUAAGCCAGAUGUGAAAUCUCGGGGCUCAACCCCGAAACUGCGUCUGGAACUGUUAAUCUAGAGUCAUAGAGAGGGAAGGGGAAUUUCUCAUGUAGGGGUAAAAUCCGUAGAGAUGAGAAGGAACAUCAGAGGCGAAGGCGCCUUCCUGGAUAUGUACUGACGCUGAGGCGCGAAAGCGUGGGGAGCAAACAGGAUUAGAUACCCCAGUAGUC